This 450-nucleotide long non-coding RNA is filed under the name Gopherus agassizii (Agassiz's desert tortoise). Its description in RNAcentral is "lncRNA (ENSGAGG00000001648.1)". The record is from RNAcentral. Lineage: Eukaryota; Metazoa; Chordata; Testudines; Testudinidae.
GUGAUGAGGUACAUUUAAGUACCAGUAGACAUGUAUUUGUUGAUGUGAUUGAUUACUCAAAUACCAUCAUAACUGUGCUUUUCUUCCAUCAUGUGUUGUAGGUUAUUGAUGCAUUUUUGAGCUGUAUAGUUGAGAAAGCAGAUGGAAAGGUACAAGCCAUCUCAUCAGUAGUUUCCACUGCCAUUCUCUCAGGCAGAGCUACACAAAUGAAAGUGAAGAUAGCCUUGAUGAAAAAAAAGGAAUUGUUAAUAAUUGACCCCUUGUGUGAUGAGAUCAGAUAUGAAAGAACAUGCCUGAGGAAUUGGAGGUGAUUUAUUAGAUACUUACUUUCACAGUGGACACUAACUGUUCCAUUGAAAUUGUUUUUAAAGGGAAUGUUACAAUAAUGAGAAUAAUGUCUUCCUAUUAGCUACAAAUAAACAUUGAAACAGCAUAUACUUGUACUGAAUG